CCUCUCGUUGCUUAGUGGUCAGAGUAUUGAUGCGCAAAGUCAAAGGGCCCGGGUUCGAUUCCCGGCGUGGGCG
RNAcentral lists this transfer RNA (73 nucleotides) under Agrilus planipennis (emerald ash borer). It matches the Rfam family "tRNA". From Rfam's summary of the family: Transfer RNA (tRNA) molecules are approximately 80 nucleotides in length. Their secondary structure includes four short double-helical elements and three loops (D, anti-codon, and T loops). Further hydrogen bonds mediate the characteristic L-shaped molecular structure. tRNAs have two regions of fundamental functional importance: the anti-codon, which is responsible for specific mRNA codon recognition, and the 3' end, to which the tRNAs corresponding amino acid is attached (by aminoacyl-tRNA synthetases). tRNAs cope with the degeneracy of the genetic code in two manners: having more than one tRNA (with a specific anti-codon) for a particular amino acid; and 'wobble' base-pairing, i.e. permitting non-standard base-pairing at the 3rd anti-codon position. Lineage: Eukaryota; Metazoa; Arthropoda; Insecta; Coleoptera; Buprestidae. The record is from Rfam by way of RNAcentral.